GGCUCUAACAAACGCAUGGCUCCCAAUCAAUUAUUGGUGUCCCUCCCGGAGGGCGCCACGAAACAAGAGGCUUGGAGGCAAACAAGGAGAGAUGACAACCGCCCGCGCGCGCGCACGCCAGAAACGAGUUCCACCCAUAAAUAGAUACUCGUCUCCUUCCUCCGCCUGCGAUCCUCCUCCCUGCCCCAUUUCUCUCCUUCCUCCACCCACCCGGCUUUCGUUUCUUGGAAGCGAGAGGAGGGACGGGGAGGGAGAGGGGGCGGAGGGCGCCGGUGAGCUUUGCCAGGGAAGCUGCUUGCGUGGGGCUUUGCACGGCCGGGCCCCGCCCACGCUUCCCUCUUGCUCACUCACUCCCACCAACGCUCGCCUCUCACCUACUCUCUCUCUCUCUCUCUUAUCUCCUUCCAAGAUCCCUUUUUCCCUUUCGUCUUUGCUAGGACCAUUCCUUGAUCUUUCCUUGGCUCCAAAUACUCCCGUUCCAGCUGCGGAGAUCCCACCUCGGUUCCCUCCCGUCCGAGUAAUUAGCUCGAAUUUGACUUGUUUCUUGCUCUUCUUUCUUUUGUGGCUGCUCAGUUCCUGCGUGUCUCCGCUUCAAUCCGAGAAACCCCCGCUCGGCAACAAGUGUCACCCCUACUUCUCCGGGCUUCGAUUCGAUCGAAUCCCGCCCAAUAUUUUUCUAACCCUUUCUGAAGUGGGUUCCAUCGCCUAGCUUUCUCCGAUCGGCCGGAGAAAGCAGCUGAGCUAGUGGUUGAUGCGGCUGUGGUCGUAGAGGCGGCAGCAUCUCAUCUCUCUUUCUUCCACUGGGUCUGGGUCUGGGUGGCUUGCGUUGUUUAUUUGCGAGGAGCACUGUGCAGCCGCAGUGCUCCACGCCUCGCUUCUUUGCUUCUCAUCAAUGCUUGCCCUGGUCGCCACCUUCGUCUUCUCCUGCCUCCUCUUCUUGUCCAAGCCAUGCGCCCGUGACAUGAGACUCUUCCUCGCCUCCAUCUCCCAACAACUCGCGCUCUCGCUGCUCGGAUUCUUGGCCGGCUACAGGCUGCUCGGCGGCGUCGCCUCCACGGCCGCGGACGCCAUGCCCCUCAUGCCGUCCUUCAAGAGGAAGCGCCCGGCCGCCAAGCUGGAGACUACGGAUACGACCGGCGAGCCGUCGGUCCUCGACCUCCCGGAGCUGGCCAUCGACUGCAUUCUCGCCAAGCUGCCGCCGGCGGAGCUGCGGAACAUGGCCGCCGUCAGCCAGUCCAUGCGGGAAAGGUGCAGGAGCGACCACCUCUGGGAGCGCCACAUGUCCGACAAGUGGGGUUCUGUCCUGGGUACCGCCGCGAGGGACGAGUGGAGGUCGUAUCUGUCCUCGUCGACCGCGGCCGGUGGCGGCGCGUCGGGGUGCGGGUCUGCUGGCAGCGGCAAGCACCGGAGGUGGCUUGCCGCGCUGUCCUGCGUCUGCCCUGUGGUGUCCUGGAUGCGGCCCAGGGCCGACGGCGGCGCCGGCACGUCCGCGGGCCCUGUGCUGGAUGAUUCCAUCAUGUCGUGGUAUCUCCACCUGGAGAGCGGCAAGCUCUGGUUCCCCGCACAGGUCUACAACCGAGAGCAUGGGCAUGUUGGGUUCAUGAUGUCAUGCUAUGAUGCAGAGCUCAGCUAUGAUUUCCGCACUGACACGUUCCACGCAAGGUAUCCACCACACGGGCGACGAACUGUAGUCUUGGAAGAUGGCGUGCAAUGGGACAGGGUCAGGGCACCUCCCGUCGGAACUCUUGCACAUGACCUGCAUGCCUCUGACUGCUUACAUGAACUACGGCCUGGCGCUAACAUUGAGAUUCAGUGGAGAAGGAACAAGGAGUUCCCAUAUGACACUGUGGUGCUGGAGUUCAAUCAAUACACGCCUGGCUCAAGAUGGAGGCAGUCCCUGGUGAACCGAAAGGACCACAGAGAAGAAGGCAACGAGAGUGAUGGAUUCUACGGUGGAAUAAGGAAGCUCCAAGACAAGGAUGAAAUCUCAAAGUGGAAGCAGCUAUGGCCAACGGAUAUCCUGGAAUAACGUGAACUAUUUCGCCCUUGUGACUCCCCAGUCAAGUUGGCUAAUUGAUAUGCCUCCCACGGUCAGCCACCCCCUCCGUAAGUUGUACACGGAUAGAACACGGGGUGGCAAAUUCUGGUUGCUGGACACGGUUGUAAACUUACUGUCGGGCAAAUAAACGCAGACUGCUGCUGAUCUACGUGCAGUGUAUGUAACCGCAGUCUGCGCCUUUUUGCUUGCUAUUGUAGUCCUAGAGCAGAAAGAUCAAAUGUAAAUUACAAUUUAGUUCAGAUUUACGACAGGUUUGUCGCAGUUCUCUCCCUCCAUUGCUGCUUUCCACCAUCAGGUAGCAAGUAAAACACACAGAGCAAGGAAGUAGCAGAGUUUCACUGUUGCCAACGCCUGAACUGGACACUGUAGCCACCUAAUAUGUGUAGGAGGUUACAUUGGAUCGGCUUUUCAGAUAGGCCUUGAGAGGCAAGGAAAGUAGGUUACAUCUCUAUCUCUAAUGCCUCUUUAGAUCCUCCUAGAUAACCGCAGAAUACAAGUUUGUUACAAUCAGGUGUAGCCUAUGAUCCUAUCACAACCAAGGAAAACAAUGAGGUUGAGAUUGCGCUUGAAUGCUUCAAUCUGUCGGCCCGUCAGAGCCUUGGUAAAUCCAUCAACAACUUCCUCUGUAGGAAUAAAUAUAAUGUCAAGUAACUUGCGUUCAACUCUUUCUCUAACAAAGUGGUAAUCCACUUCUAUGUGUUUUGUUUUGGCAUGAAACACAGGAUUGCCAGACAGUUAUGGCUCCAAUAUUAUCCCACCAUAACCUUGAGAGAUUAGA
RNAcentral lists this ribosomal RNA (2837 nucleotides) under Triticum aestivum (bread wheat). RNAcentral's name for it is "partial small subunit ribosomal RNA". Lineage: Eukaryota; Viridiplantae; Streptophyta; Magnoliopsida; Poales; Poaceae. The record is from RNAcentral.